Molecule: ribosomal RNA, 253 nt
Filed under: uncultured Byssovorax sp.
Lineage: Bacteria; Pseudomonadati; Myxococcota; Polyangiales; Polyangiaceae
Description: partial 16S ribosomal RNA
Rfam family: Bacterial small subunit ribosomal RNA
Source: RNAcentral
GACAGAGGGUGCAAACGUUGUUCGGAAUUACUGGGCGUAAAGAGUGUGUAGGCGGCCAUGUAAGUCGGAUGUGAAAGCCCCGGGCUUAACCGGGGAAGUGCAUUCGAUACUGCGUGGCUUGAGUAUCGGAGAGGUUGGUGGAAUUCUCGGUGUAGAGGUGAAAUUCGUAGAUAUCGAGAGGAACACCGGUGGCGAAGGCGGCCAACUGGACGAAUACUGACGCUGAGACACGAAAGCGUGGGGAGCAAACAGG